AAAAGUGGACUGAUGCGGAGGUGCAGGCGCUGCUGGCCAUGUACGCCACCAAGGAGGUGGGGUUUGUAUGUGGCGCUAAAGUCAAGUGACAAUGCUAUAAAGACCGUUGCUGUGCUUGCGUCACUCCUUUACCCCUCCUACCAGUUCCUGUGGUUACUUGGCCGGUGCGAAUGCAAAUGG
Etheostoma spectabile (orangethroat darter) is the source of this 180-nucleotide long non-coding RNA. RefSeq lists it as uncharacterized. Lineage: Eukaryota; Metazoa; Chordata; Actinopteri; Perciformes; Percidae. The transcript is spliced from 2 exons. The record is from RefSeq and is a predicted model, not a curated record.